UGGCUUUGGCAUCGAUGAAGAACGCAGCGAAAUGCGAUAAGUAAUGUGAAUUGCAGAAUUCAGCGAAUCAUCGAAUCUUUGAACGCACAUUGCACCUAUUAGCAUUCUAGUAGGUAUGCCUGUCCGAGCGUCAUUUCAACCCUCAGGAGGCUCCGGCCGACUGGUGUUGGGGCCCCGCGGCCAGCCGCGGGCCCCUAAAGUCAUCGGCGGUGCCUGCCAGCACUCCGGGCGCAGUAGCAACCCUCGCCCUGGACGUCUGGCGGAGCGCCUGCCGCUAAGCAGCCUCGCGGCACACUCAAGGUUGACCUCGGAUCAGGUAGGAAUACCCGCUGA
Molecule: unclassified non-coding RNA, 333 nt
Filed under: uncultured fungus
Lineage: Eukaryota; Fungi
Description: partial contains 5.8S ribosomal RNA and internal transcribed spacer 2
Rfam family: 5.8S ribosomal RNA (bases 1-133)
Source: RNAcentral